Equus caballus (horse) is the source of this 103-nucleotide microRNA precursor. The record is from Ensembl. NCBI's taxonomy places the organism in Eukaryota, Metazoa, Chordata, Mammalia, Perissodactyla, Equidae.
UGUUCCGGGCACCUGUGGAGAGCCCAGGCAUCCAGGGUCUGUUGCUUUCCUUUAAAGUCAGGCCAUGAUGCUCUCUGAGCCUGGGUUAGGAGCAGAGAUGAAG